GGGGGACCUUCGGGCCUCUUGCCAUCGGAUGUGCCCAGAUGGGAUUAGCUAGUAGGUGGGGUAACGGCUCACCUAGGCGACGAUCCCUAGCUGGUCUGAGAGGAUGACCAGCCACACUGGAACUGAGACACGGUCCAGACUCCUACGGGAGGCAGCAGUGGGGAAUAUUGCACAAUGGGCGCAAGCCUGAUGCAGCCAUGCCGCGUGUAUGAAGAAGGCCUUCGGGUUGUAAAGUACUUUCAGCGGGGAGGAAGGGAGUAAAGUUAAUACCUUUGCUCAUUGACGUUACCCGCAGAAGAAGCACCGGCUAACUCCGUGCCAGCAGCCGCGGUAAUCCGGAGGGUGCAAGCGUUAAUCGGAAGUACUGGGCGUAAAGCGCACGCCAGCCGGUC
RNAcentral lists this ribosomal RNA (392 nucleotides) under Escherichia coli. RNAcentral's name for it is "bacterial SSU rRNA". It matches the Rfam family "Bacterial small subunit ribosomal RNA", at positions 194 to 581 of the family's 1533-position model. The record is from RNAcentral. Lineage: Bacteria; Pseudomonadati; Pseudomonadota; Gammaproteobacteria; Enterobacterales; Enterobacteriaceae.